CCCCGGGAGGGGAGUGAAACAGUACCUGAAACCGUGCGCCCACGAGCAGUCGGAGCAACUUUACGUUGUGACGGCGUGCCUUUUGUAGAAUGAGCCAGCGAGUCGCUGGCGCGGGGCGAGGUUAACCGAAAGGGAGCCGAAGCGAAAGCGAGCCUUAACAGGGCGACUUGAGUCCCGCGCCGCGGACGCGAAGCCGGGUGAGCUAUCCGUGGGCAGGCUGAAGCGGGGGUAAGACCCCGUGGAGGGCCGAACGCACGUCGGUUGAAAACGGCGGCGAUGACCUGCGGAUAGGGGUGAAAGGCCAAUCAAACCCGGAGAUAUCUCGUUCUCCCCGAAAUAGCUUUAGGGCUAGCGUCGCGCGUUCACCGCCGGAGGUAGAGCACCGGAUGGACGAGGGGGCUUCGCCGCCUACCGAAUCCAACCGAACUCCGAAUGCCGGCGGCCCAGAGCGCGGCAGUCAGAGCAUGUGGGCUAAGCUGUGUGCUCGAGAGGGAAACAGCCCGGACCGCCCGCUAAGGUCCCCAAGUUCCAGCCGAGUGGCAAAGGAUGUGCGUCCGCCCAGACAACCAGGAUGUUGGCUUAGAAGCAGCCAUCCAUUCAAAGAGUGCGUAACAGCUCACUGGUCGAGUGGACAUGCGCCGACAAUACACGGGGCUAAGCUGGACACCGAAGCGGCGGGAUUUUGAUUUUCAGAAUCGGUAGGGGAGCUUCCCAUGGGCGGAGAAGCCGGAGGGCGACCGACGGUGGAGCGCAUGGGAGUGAGAAUGCUGGCAUGAGUAGCGAGAGACGAGAGAGUAACUCGUCCGCCGUGAACCCGAGGUUUCCUGGGCAAGGCUAAUCCUCCCAGGGUCAGUCGGGGGCUAAGGCGAGGCCGGGAGGCGUAGCCGACGCGCAGCAGGCAGACAUUCCUGCACCGCGCACGCGGCGCUACGACCGACGGGGCGACGGAUGGGGGUGGCUCGGCGGGGUUCUGGACGUCCCCGUGAUGGAGCGCGGCCCGCGGACCAGGGAAAUCCGGUCCGCAGAAGGGCGAGGCUCCGGACGAAGCGAUUGAGCGAAGCGAGUGAGCCCGAGGUCCCUAGAAAAACCCCUAGGCAGGCGCGUGCGCGCCCGUACCGCAAACCGACACAGGUGGGUGGGUAGAACAUACCGAGGCGAUCGGGUCAACCAUGGUCAAGGAACUCGGCACAAUGGCCCCGUAACUUCGGGAGAAGGGGUGCCCGCGCGUACGUGAACGGACUUGCUCCGGGAGCGGAGGCGGGCCGCAGUGGAGAGGCCCAAGCGACUGUUUACCAAAAACACAGGACUCUGCAGAAGCCGCAAGGCGACGUAUAGGGUCUGACGCCUGCCCGGUGCCGGAAGGUCACGCGGAGGAGUUAGCGCAUCGCGCGAAGCCCCGAAGCCAAGCCCCGGUAAACGGCGGCCGUAACUAUAACGGUCCUAAGGUAGCGAAAUUCCUUGUCGGGUAAGUUCCGACCUGCACGAAAGGCGCAACGACUUGGGCGCUGUCUCGACCAUGGACCCGGUGAAAUUGCACUGGUCGUGAAGAUGCGACUUACCCGCGGAAGGACGGAAAGACCCCGUGAACCUUCACUGCAGCUUGGCAUUGGCCGCUGGUCCCGCGUGUAGAGGAUAGGCAGGAGGCACAGAUCCGGAGGCGCCAGCCCCCGGGGAGCCGCCCUUGGAAUACUGCCCUCGCGCGACCGGCGUCCUAACCCGAGGCCGUCAACCGGCUCGGGGACCGUGCCAGGCGGGCAGUUUGACUGGGGCGGUCGCCUCCUAAAGGGUAACGGAGGCGCGCGAAGGUCCGCUCGGGACGGUCGGCAACCGUCCUUUUGAAUGCAAGAGUACAAGCGGGCUUGACUGCGAGGCCCACAAGCCGAGCAGGUGCGAAAGCAGGCUCUAGUGAUCCGGCGGCCCCGAGUGGGUGGGCCGUCGCUCAACGGAUAAAAGGUACUCCGGGGAUAACAGGCUGAUCUUGCCCAAGAGUCCACAUCGACGGCAAGGUUUGGCACCUCGAUGUCGGCUCAUCGCAUCCUGGGGCUGGAGCAGGUCCCAAGGGUACGGCUGUUCGCCGUUUAAAGCGGUACGCGAGCUGGGUUCAGAACGUCGUGAGACAGUUCGGUCCCUAUCCUCCGUGGGCGCAGGAGAAUCGAUGGAGGCUGCCCCCAGUACGAGAGGACCGGGGUGGACGCACCUCCGGUGAACCGGUUGUCGACCAACGGCACGGCCGGGUAGCCGCGUGCGGCGCGGAUAACCGCUGAAGGCAUCUAAGCGGGAAGCCGUUCCAGGGAUUAGUUCUCCUUCCGGUAAGGGCCCAGGUAGACUACCUGGUCGAUAGACGGCAGGUGCAAGGACGGCGACGUCCUCAGCCGAGCCGCACUAAUCGCCCGAGCUCUUCCGGAA
Molecule: ribosomal RNA, 2406 nt
Filed under: human gut metagenome
Description: bacterial LSU rRNA
Rfam family: Bacterial large subunit ribosomal RNA
Source: RNAcentral